GAUUGAACGCUGGCGGCAGGCCUAACACAUGCAAGUCGAACGGUAACAGGAAACAGCUUGCUGUUUCGCUGACGAGUGGCGGACGGGUGAGUAAUGUCUGGGAAACUGCCUGAUGGAGGGGGAUAACUACUGGAAACGGUAGCUAAUACCGCAUAACGUCGCAAGACCAAAGAGGGGGACCUUCGGGCCUCUUGCCAUCGGAUGUGCCCAGAUGGGAUUAGCUAGUAGGUGGGGUAACGGCUCACCUAGGCGACGAUCCCUAGCUGGUCUGAGAGGAUGACCAGCCACACUGGAACUGAGACACGGUCCAGACUCCUACGGGAGGCAGCAGUGGGGAAUAUUGCACAAUGGGCGCAAGCCUGAUGCAGCCAUGCCGCGUGUAUGAAGAAGGCCUUCGGGUUGUAAAGUACUUUCAGCGGGGAGGAAGGGAGUAAAGUUAAUACCUUUGCUCAUUGACGUUACCCGCAGAAGAAGCACCGGCUAACUCCGUGCCAGCAGCCGCGGUAAUAUGGAGGGUGCAAGCGUUAAUCGGAAUUACUGGGCGUAAAGCGCACGCAGGCGGUUUGUUAAGUCAGAUGUGAAAUCCCCGGGCUCAACCUGGGAACUGCAUCUGAUACUGGCAAGCUUGAGUCUCGUAGAGGGGGGUAGAAUUCCAGGUGUAGCGGUGAAAUGCGUAGAGAUCUGGAGGAAUACCGGUGGCGAAGGCGGCCCCCUGGACGAAGACUGACGCUCAGGUGCGAAAGCGUGGGGAGCANNCAGGAUUAGAUACCCUGGUAGUCCACGCCGUAAACGAUGUCGACUUGGAGGUUGUGCCCUUGAGGCGUGGCUUCCGGAGCUAACGCGUUAAGUCGACCGCCUGGGGAGUACGGCCGCAAGGUUAAAACUCAAAUGAAUUGACGGGGGCCCGCACAAGCGGUGGAGCAUGUGGUUUAAUUCGAUGCAACGCGAAGAACCUUACCUGGUCUUGACAUCCACAGAACUUUCCAGAGAUGGAUUGGUGCCUUCGGGAACUGUGAGACAGGUGCUGCAUGGCUGUCGUCAGCUCGUGUUGUGAAAUGUUGGGUUAAGUCCCGCAACGAGCGCAACCCUUAUCCUUUGUUGCCAGCGGUCCGGCCGGGAACUCAAAGGAGACUGCCAGUGAUAAACUGGAGGAAGGUGGGGAUGACGUCAAGUCAUCAUGGCCCUUACGACCAGGGCUACACACGUGCUACAAUGGCGCAUACAAAGAGAAGCGACCUCGCGAGAGCAAGCGGACCUCAUAAAGUGCGUCGUAGUCCGGAUUGGAGUCUGCAACUCGACUCCAUGAAGUCGGAAUCGCUAGUAAUNNNNNAUCAGAAUGCCACGGUGAAUACGUUCCCGGGCC
RNAcentral lists this ribosomal RNA (1363 nucleotides) under uncultured soil bacterium. Its description in RNAcentral is "bacterial SSU rRNA". It matches the Rfam family "Bacterial small subunit ribosomal RNA", at positions 27 to 1380 of the family's 1533-position model. The record is from RNAcentral.